RNAcentral lists this ribosomal RNA (625 nucleotides) under uncultured Shewanella sp. Its description in RNAcentral is "bacterial SSU rRNA". It matches the Rfam family "Bacterial small subunit ribosomal RNA", at positions 216 to 833 of the family's 1533-position model. The record is from RNAcentral. Lineage: Bacteria; Pseudomonadati; Pseudomonadota; Gammaproteobacteria; Alteromonadales; Shewanellaceae.
CGCGAUUGGAUGAACCUAGGUGGGAUUAGCUAGUUGGUGAGGUACUGGCUCACCAAGGCGACGAUCCCUAGCUGUUCUGAGAGGAUGAUCAGCCACACUGGGACUGAGACACGGCCCAGACUCCUACGAGAGGCAGCAGUGGGGAAUAUUGCACAAUGGGGGAAACCCUGAUGCAGCCAUGCCGCGUGUGUGAAGGAGGCCUUCGGGUUGUAAAGCACUUUCAGUAGGGAGGAAAGGGUGAGUCUUAAUACGGCUCAUCUGUGACGUUACCUACAGAAGAAGGACCGGCUAACUCCGUGCCAGCAGCCGCGGUAAUACGGAGGGUCCGAGCGUUAAUCGGAAUUACUGGGCGUAAAGCGUGCGCAGGCGGUUUGUUAAGCGAGAUGUGAAGGCCCUGGGCUCAACCUAGGAAUAGCAUUUCGAACUGGCGAACUAGAGUCUUGUAGAGGGGGGUAGAAUCCCAGGUGUAGCGGUGAAAUGCGUAGAGAUCUGGAGGAAUACCGGUGGCGAAGGCGGCCCCCUGGACAAAGACUGACGCUCAUACACGAAAGCGUGGGGAGCAAACAGGAUUAGAUACCCUGGUAGUCCACGCCGUAAACGAUGUCUACUCGGAGUUUGGUGCCUU